UACGGGGGGAGCAAGCGUUGUUCGGAUUUACUGGGCGUAAAGGGCGCGUAGGCGGUCGUGACAAGUCACUUGUGAAAUCUCCGGGCUUAACUCGGAACGGUCAAGUGAUACUGUCGGACUAGAGUACAGAAGGGGCAACUGGAAUUCUCGGUGUAGCGGUGAAAUGCGCAGAUAUCAGGAGGAACACCGGUGGCGAAGGCGGUUCUCUGGGCAUUACCUGACGCUGAGGAGCGAAAGCCAGGGGAGCGAACGGG
RNAcentral lists this ribosomal RNA (254 nucleotides) under uncultured bacterium. RNAcentral describes it as "partial 16S ribosomal RNA". It matches the Rfam family "Bacterial small subunit ribosomal RNA", at positions 524 to 776 of the family's 1533-position model. The record is from RNAcentral.